ACAUCUUGGUACUUUCAGUUGUUCUAUAAUAAAUAGGUUAUAAACAGCAAAAUAAAAACAGGGUUUUAGGAGACCUGUUUUGGGCUCCCCAGUCCAUCUCUUUAUUAUCUGCCCCUUCACCCCACCUACCCCAGGACCCUAGCAACACUUUCUGUUCUAGAAAGGCCUCCUCUGCCCCAGAUUCUGGGCCUCUGCAUGCAGUGUGCCUCUGGCUGCAGCACCCCGCUUUCUCCUCCUCAGCCAGCUCACUCAUUCUCUCUGUCAUUACAGAGUGGCCACCAUGGACUGGGCACUGUUCUAGGUGCUAGGAACACCUUUACCUGGCUUACAUCCCAGUGCAGGAGACAAGAAAUAAAUGACCUAAUACAGGUCAGUGCCAUGAAGAGACAUAUACCAGGCUCAGGCGAUAAAGCGUAAGAUGGGUGCUGCUUGAAUGGGGUGUGAGGGCCGUCAGAGAAGGUUCAUCUGACAAGGUGACAAUGCAAACAGAUAUCUCAGCUAAGUGAGAGAGUAGCCACCUGGGUAUCCAGGGAAGAGUGUUCCAGGCUGAAAGGGUGGUCAGUGCAAAGGUCCUGAGGCAGGGAGCACAUUGGGCAUGUUCCCUCAACAGCAAGGAGGCUGAUACAGCCAGACUGGGAGGUGAGGUCAGAGGCCCCAGGUAGUUCUUUAUUUAUUUUAUUUUUUUAUUUUUUUGUCUUUUUGCCUUUUCUAGGGCCGCUCCCGCAGCAUAUGGAGGACAAAAAAAAAGAAAAAAAAAAAAAAGGUACAGACACGUUUCCAUAUACCUGCCCCCACACAUGCGGUCUCCCCCAUUGUCCACAUCCCGCCAGGGUGGGGCAUUUGUUGACAUUAUCACCCAAAGCCCACAGUUUACAUUAAGCCUCCCUCUGGGUGUUGCUCCCUCUGGGUGUUGUACGGGGCAAACGGAAAAUGACACGCAUCCACCACCAGAGUAUCAGAGUGUCACUGCCCUAUAAAUCCUCUUGUUCAGCCAUCCAUCCCUCACCAAGCCCCGGCACCCCAGGCAACCACUGUUCUUUUUCUUGUCUCUAUAGUUUUGCCUUUUCCAGAAUGUCAUGGAAGGAGAAUUAUACAGUAUCCAGCCUCUCCAGAUGGGCUUCUUUCAGUCCGUACAUAUGCAUUUAAGUUUUCCCCGUGUCUUUUCAUGGCUUCAUAGCUCAUUUCUUUCCAGGCCUGAAAAAUAUGCCAGUGUCCGGAUGAACCACAGGGUACCUGGUUUUUCAACCCCUGGGGUGCGGAUCUGCCAAGCCAGGGGCUCUGCUGCCUUUGGACAAAAUUUUCUCUGAACCUCCAGUGUUUUUCAUCUGUAAAAUGGGAAUAAAAACACUGAUGACCUCGUGGGAAGGAGGAGUCUGUGUGGAAACGUACGGAAGGCAUGGAUUACAGUUCGCAGCAGGGGGCAAGAGACAGAUGUUAGCUGCAAUUAUCAUCACUAGCACUGUG
Molecule: long non-coding RNA, 1464 nt
Filed under: Sus scrofa (pig)
Lineage: Eukaryota; Metazoa; Chordata; Mammalia; Artiodactyla; Suidae
Description: lncRNA (ENSSSCG00005019783.1)
Source: RNAcentral